GGAAUGUUAGCUCAGUUGGUAGAGCAUUCGGCUUACAUCCGAAGGGUCAGGGGUUCGAGUCCCUUACAUUCCA
RNAcentral lists this transfer RNA (73 nucleotides) under Pseudomonadales bacterium. RNAcentral's name for it is "tRNA-Val". It matches the Rfam family "tRNA". Rfam says of the family: Transfer RNA (tRNA) molecules are approximately 80 nucleotides in length. Lineage: Bacteria; Pseudomonadati; Pseudomonadota; Gammaproteobacteria; Pseudomonadales. The record is from RNAcentral. RNAcentral also lists the same sequence under 5 other names.